AUUGAACGCUGGCGGCAGGCCUAACACAUGCAAGUCGAAUGGUAACAGGAAACAUCUUGCUGUUUCGCUGACGAGUGGCGGACGGGUGAGUAAUGUCUGUGAAACUGCCUGAUGGAGGGGGAUAACUACUGGAAACGGUAGCUACUACCGCAUAACGUCGCAAGACCAAAGAGGGGGACCUUCGGGCCUCUUGCCAGCACAUGUGCCCAGAUGGGAUUAGCUAGUAGGUGGGGUAACGGCUCACCUAGGCGACGAUCCCUAGCUGGUCUGAGAGGAUGACCAGCCACACUGGAACUGACACACGGUCCAGACUCCUACGGGAGGCAGCAGUGGGGAAUAUUGCACAAUGGGCGCAAGCCUGAUGCAGCCAUGCCGCGUGUAUGAAGAAGGCCUUCGGGUUGUAAAGUACUUUCAGCGGGGAGGAAGGGAGUAAAGUUAAUACCUUUGCUCAUUGACGUUACCCGCAGAAGAAGCACCGGCUAACUCCGUG
This 490-nucleotide ribosomal RNA is filed under the name uncultured bacterium. Its description in RNAcentral is "partial 16S ribosomal RNA". It matches the Rfam family "Bacterial small subunit ribosomal RNA", at positions 30 to 507 of the family's 1533-position model. The record is from RNAcentral.